CUGCGCCUUUAACCCCUGUGCCUCACCCUCACUGCGGUGCACACACGCUCAGCACCACACCCACUCAGCUCACACUCCUUCUGUCACACACCUACACACUCUGAACGGAGCUGCACCACGCCCAACUCGUUCCGCCACCACCGAACUGUCGAGCCCAGAGAAGAGAGAGUUGCUACUGUGCUGUCGAGAAGAGAGCUCGCACAGAGAGGGAGGACUCACGAAUGAGGGGUUGUCUCCCAGAGUCGCCGCUGUUUGUGCCUUGCCGUCGCCAUUCUGGCUUCCAUCAAGCUCGAAAUGUAACUGUUUGUGGUGCUUGCCGUCAUCGCUGGAGCUUCUGCCGCCGCCGUGAACCGCGAACAGAGGAGAGCGAGAGAGACUGAAGCGAGAGAGAAGAGAUGAUGAACGAAGCCGUCACUGGAGCCUUGGUCGUCGCUGCCAGAGGCGUAGAAGAAGGGAGAUAGGACCGCAUGAGCUAGAGGAGCCAUUGUGAUCGCCGCUGCUGUCGUGGGUGGAGUCUGCCGUCGAGCUGCAUGCCGCCACUGCUGUCGAAAACCACUGUCAGAACCACUACUAUUUUGUUGUCACCGUGAGUUACCCUGCCAUCGCCAUUACUGAAGGUUGCUGCUGCCACCAAUGCUAGUUCAUGGUAGAAUGAUGAGGCUACGAUGUCGAGGGUGCAGUUCUGCUAGCUGUCCGGCCCUUAUUCCGCCUUCAGUUUUUUUUAAUUGCGACAUCAAGCAUAGAUUGAGAUUGAGAAAGUACAAGAGAGAUUUGUAUUCUUUGCAAAAGGAAGGAGAAAACUUGCUGGUCAUGUAGAGCCCUAAUGACAAAUUAAUCGCCAUUCUUGAGUGCUAAAAUGGUGACAAUAUGAUACCUAAAGGACUCAAGAAUAUUUUGAUUCAUAAAGAUAUUAAUCUAUGUUACACUUUUAACUUUUGGUUGAACUAGUGUAUGAAAUAUAACUUGUAAAACUAAUCAAUGUAGACACUAAUGUUAUUUUGUUUUAAAACAAUCUUAGUUAAAUGAAGUAUGUUUGAAUUA
This is a long non-coding RNA of Arachis duranensis, 1041 nucleotides long. RefSeq lists it as uncharacterized. The transcript has 4 exons. NCBI's taxonomy places the organism in Eukaryota, Viridiplantae, Streptophyta, Magnoliopsida, Fabales, Fabaceae. The record is from RefSeq and is a predicted model, not a curated record.